GAUGAACGCUGGCGGCGUGCCUAAUACAUGCAAGUCGAGCGAACAGACGAGGAGCUUGCUCCUCUGACGUUAGCGGCGGACGGGUGAGUAACACGUGGAUAACCUACCUAUAAGACUGGGAUAACUUCGGGAAACCGGAGCUAAUACCGGAUAACAUGUUGAACCGCAUGGUUCAACAGUGAAAGACGGCCUUGCUGUCACUUAUAGAUGGAUCCGCGCCGCAUUAGCUAGUUGGUAAGGUAACGGCUUACCAAGGCAACGAUGCGUAGCCGACCUGAGAGGGUGAUCGGCCACACUGGAACUGAGACACGGUCCAGACUCCUACGGGAGGCAGCAGUAGGGAAUCUUCCGCAAUGGGCGAAAUCCUGACGGAGCGACGCCGCGUGAGUGAAGAAGGUCUUCGGAUCGUAAAACUCUGUUAUUAGGGAAGAACAAAUGUGUAAGUAACUAUGCACGUCUUGACGGUACCUAAUCAGAAAGCCACGGCUAACUACGUG
This 497-nucleotide ribosomal RNA is filed under the name uncultured bacterium. RNAcentral's name for it is "partial 16S ribosomal RNA". It matches the Rfam family "Bacterial small subunit ribosomal RNA", at positions 28 to 507 of the family's 1533-position model. The record is from RNAcentral.